UUCAGAGGUCACAGAAUCACCAAGAUCCGUUGAUAUGAACCUUAAAAGUCAAACAUCAGAAGAAUUAAUGUCUUCUGACCUUAACAUUGUAGUCAUUGAUUCUGGUGUUCCUCGGCGACCCCCUGCCGGAAAACGUGCAAACGAUCAGGUUAAUUAUCCUAAGUUGAUUGAGUUGCUAAUCAAUAGUUCUGAGUAUGCAUCAAACCUGUUAAAUGAUAUAACUGGAGGGAAAUUAGGAUGUCCUCUACCAGAAGACAUGGAUACAACUGAUAUACAUGCAAGUGACAUGAUAUCGGUAGUUCAUGCAUUUCGUAAUGGUUUCCGAGCUGCUCUUAG
RNAcentral lists this long non-coding RNA (336 nucleotides) under Cicer arietinum (chickpea). RNAcentral describes it as "long non-coding RNA (CARI_LNC001742)". Lineage: Eukaryota; Viridiplantae; Streptophyta; Magnoliopsida; Fabales; Fabaceae. The record is from RNAcentral.